This 1428-nucleotide ribosomal RNA is filed under the name uncultured bacterium. Its description in RNAcentral is "16S ribosomal RNA". It matches the Rfam family "Bacterial small subunit ribosomal RNA". The record is from RNAcentral.
CUUAACACAUGCAAGUCGAGGGGCAGCAUGGUCUUAGCUUGCUAAGGCCGAUGGCGACCGGCGCACGGGUGAGUAACACGUAUCCAACCUGCCGUCUACUCUUGGACAGCCUUCUGAAAGGAAGAUUAAUACAAGAUGGCAUCAUGAGUCCGCAUGUUCACAUGAUUAAAGGUAUUCCGGUAGACGAUGGGGAUGCGUUCCAUUAGAUAGUAGGCGGGGUAACGGCCCACCUAGUCUUCGAUGGAUAGGGGUUCUGAGAGGAAGGUCCCCCACAUUGGAACUGAGACACGGUCCAAACUCCUACGGGAGGCAGCAGUGAGGAAUAUUGGUCAAUGGGCGAGAGCCUGAACCAGCCAAGUAGCGUGAAGGAUGACUGCCCUAUGGGUUGUAAACUUCUUUUAUAAAGGAAUAAAGUCGGGUAUGGAUACCCGUUUGCAUGUACUUUAUGAAUAAGGAUCGGCUAACUCCGUGCCAGCAGCCGCGGUAAUACGGAGGAUCCGAGCGUUAUCCGGAUUUAUUGGGUUUAAAGGGAGCGUAGAUGGGUGUUUAAGUCAGUUGUGAAAGUUUGCGGCUCAACCGUAAAAUUGCAGUUGAUACUGGAUAUCUUGAGUGCAGUUGAGGCAGGCGGAAUUCGUGGUGUAGCGGUGAAAUGCUUAGAUAUCACGAAGAACUCCGAUUGCGAAGGCAGCCUGCUAAGCUGCAACUGACAUUGAGGCUCGAAAGUGUGGGUAUCAAACAGGAUUAGAUACCCUGGUAGUCCACACGGUAAACGAUGAAUACUCGCUGUUUGCGAUAUACUGCAAGCGGCCAAGCGAAAGCGUUAAGUAUUCCACCUGGGGAGUACGCCGGCAACGGUGAAACUCAAAGGAAUUGACGGGGGCCCGCACAAGCGGAGGAACAUGUGGUUUAAUUCGAUGAUACGCGAGGAACCUUACCCGGGCUUAAAUUGCAGAUGAAUUACGGUGAAAGCCGUAAGCCGCAAGGCAUCUGUGAAGGUGCUGCAUGGUUGUCGUCAGCUCGUGCCGUGAGGUGUCGGCUUAAGUGCCAUAACGAGCGCAACCCUUGUUGUCAGUUACUAACAGGUUCCGCUGAGGACUCUGACAAGACUGCCAUCGUAAGAUGUGAGGAAGGUGGGGAUGACGUCAAAUCAGCACGGCCCUUACGUCCGGGGCUACACACGUGUUACAAUGGGGGGUACAGAGGGCCGCUACCACGCGAGUGGAUGCCAAUCCCCAAAACCUCUCUCAGUUCGGACUGGAGUCUGCAACCCGACUCCACGAAGCUGGAUUCGCUAGUAAUCGCGCAUCAGCCACGGCGCGGUGAAUACGUUCCCGGGCCUUGUACACACCGCCCGUCAAGCCAUGGGAGCCGGGGGUACCUGAAGUGCGUAACCGCGAGGAGCGCCCUAGGGUAAAACUGGUGACUGGG